Molecule: long non-coding RNA, 862 nt
Organism: Eutrema salsugineum
Lineage: Eukaryota; Viridiplantae; Streptophyta; Magnoliopsida; Brassicales; Brassicaceae
Exons: 3
Source: RefSeq, a predicted model, not a curated record
AAACGACGGCGACGGCGAUUUCUGUGAGGUCGAAACCGAACCUUCUAUGUCUUUUCCGGCGGUCUGGUUCUUCUGUGCUUCUUCCGUCCUUCUUAUCGGCGUGUUCUGCGUCUCUGCAAGCAGUCGUUCGGUGGUGGUUUCGUCGAAGGAUUUCAGAACUGACGCGUCGAAGAGUUUUCCGGUGAGAUUAAUAAAUUUUGUAACAAAAAUUAUACUUAUAUGUGGUAGAUUAACAUAUGUUUUGUAAUAGAUUUAUUUGUCGCUUAUGGUAGAGUUAUUACUUAUGUCUAGUAGAUUUGUUAUUAUAGAUAUGUUCGAUGAAUUAGUAGAAAGAACUAUAUGGUAGACUUAUUUUCUUUACGUAUGAUAGAGUUGUAUAAUAACUUUAUAUACGACUUCCCCGAUAUUGUCUCCCUUUGCUGAAACAACUUUCGUCGAGAAUUUGCGUUAACGAUAAAACCGGCAAGUACGUCUUCUCAUUUGUAGUUCGUCGAUUCGUUUUCUCGACGUUGCUAAACUCCUCUUCCGCUCCGUCGACUCCUCCUCACUCAUCCGGGACAAUGCCGAUAAGUUACAGUGAUCGUUCAUCUGAAGGAACUGAAAUGAUUUUUAGGGGACUGGAUCACAUAUGUGGAAAUGGUGGGAUGAUGCUAUUACGGAGGAAUUCAACCGCGUGAAGAGAAACUUUGACAAGCAUAACGAGAAGCUGCAAAUGCUUUCAGGACUCCAAACUUUGACUGUGUUUGCUGCCAUUUCAUAUCUCUUCAGUAGAGAGAUGAACUGAUAACUAUUUGUAUCAUGAUAGACUUUUUAUUCUUUUAAGUGGACUUCUUAUCUUCUUAUGUAUGGUACACUUGUUCUU